This 511-nucleotide ribosomal RNA is filed under the name uncultured Alphaproteobacteria bacterium. RNAcentral describes it as "bacterial SSU rRNA". It matches the Rfam family "Bacterial small subunit ribosomal RNA", at positions 367 to 896 of the family's 1533-position model. Lineage: Bacteria; Pseudomonadati; Pseudomonadota; Alphaproteobacteria. The record is from RNAcentral.
GACAAUGGGGGCAACCCUGAUCUAGCCAUGCCGCGUGUGUGAUGAAGGCCCUAGGGUCGUAAAGCACUUUCGCCAGAGAUGAUAAUGACAGUAUCUGGUAAAGAAACCCCGGCUAACUCCGUGCCAGCAGCCGCGGUAAUACGGAGGGGGUUAGCGUUGUUCGGAAUUACUGGGCGUAAAGCGCACGUAGGCGGAUUAGUAAGUUAGAGGUGAAAUCCCAGGGCUCAACCCUGGAACUGCCUUUAAUACUGCUAGUCUUGAGUUCGAGAGAGGUAAGUGGAAUUCCGAGUGUAGAGGUGAAAUUCGUAGAUAUUCGGAGGAACACCAGUGGCGAAGGCGGCUUACUGGCUCGAUACUGACGCUGAGGUGCGAAAGUGUGGGGAGCAAACAGGAUUAGAUACCCUGGUAGUCCACACCGUAAACGAUGAAUGCCAGACGUCAGCAAGUAUACUUGUUGGUGUCACACCUAACGGAUUAAGCAUUCCGCCUGGGGAGUACGGUCGCAAGAUUA